Molecule: long non-coding RNA, 4006 nt
Organism: Bubalus bubalis (water buffalo)
Lineage: Eukaryota; Metazoa; Chordata; Mammalia; Artiodactyla; Bovidae
Exons: 8
Source: RefSeq, a predicted model, not a curated record
GGAGCGGGACAGACGGACAGACAGACCCGAGUAGGCAGUCAUGGUUUGAGUCGCGCUGCCCACUCUCUUGCCUCCUCUAACCCCUCCUCCCGGAGAACCCCAAGAUCAGAAUUGUCUUCGGGAUCUGAACGCCUCACCCCUCUGCUUUCGAGCUUCCUAUGGCUCCCCGGUACCUUGGGAAUGAACCCAGACCCCGGAGCUGUGGCUCUCAAGGCCCUGCAGGGUCUGGCUCCUGCCCCCCUCCCCCUCUAGUCCGCAUGUCCCUCCUCACUGCCUCACUGCCCCACAGCCCGUGGCCCCCUCCCCUUUCCCCACUGGGCUGCCCCCAGGGUCCACUCACGGCCUCUGCUCUCUCCCCAUCCCUCCUGCCCCAGAUAACUCUGGACUUCUCCUCCAAGGUCUCUUUAAAUAUCACUUGGGUUCACAGGGCUGAAUCGGACUGGCAACACUCCCUUCCUGAGCUCAAGGUUCAGAACAGGAGCCCGAUGACACACGAGCAAUGAAUGAAAGGAGAUGAGAUUUAAGGCCCUGGGUGGAAAAGCAAUGCCCGAUCUGAGCACUCUCCAAGCCAGACCCUGCUCAGAAUACUUCAUGUGCAUUUACUGCAUCUCGAUCCAGCCCUGAAAGGUGGGGGCCAGUACUGCCUUCACCCCUAUGAGCAGUGAAACCAGGCUGCUCACAGCUUGUCUGGGCAGAGUGGGGCUGUGAAACCACCAGGCUUCCAGGUGGUUCCGAACGGUGAGGAGAUGGAGCAAGCUGGGCAGGGCCUUUGGAUUGCGGUCCCCUCUGCCUGGAAUGUUCCCUGUCCGUUUUGUGAUGCUGUACUUAAUCAAGCUUCACCUUCCAGAAAGGGGUUGAAGGACACAAGUGAUGAUGAUGAGAUAAGACCGCUUUCGCCAGACCUCACCACUCUUGCAUCCCAUUACUGGCUCAGGCUACAAGAACAGCAUGAAUUUAAAAUAUGAAUAUAUAAGCACAUAAAACAAAUCCUGUGGUUUUCUUGUGAACCUCACACAUACACUGUUGUAAUUUUGUGGAGGAAUCUCAAAAAAUAGAAGUCUUCUAGUCUUCAAUACUUUGGCUACCUGGGGCAAAAAGCUGACUCACUGGAAAAGAUCCUGAUGCUGGGAAGGAUUGAAGGCAGGAGGAGAAGGGGACGACAGAGGAUGAGAUGGUUGGAUGGCAUCACUGACUCGAUGGACAUGAGUUUGAGCUGUAAGCUUCAUGAGCUCUGGGGCCUUGGCUCUUUUCCUUCAUCACUGUAGGCUCAGAGCCUAGCAAGGGGCUGGUGUACAGUAGACACUACAGAGAGAUUUGUUGGAGAACAAACAAGUGAAUCCAGACUCCUUAGUACUCCAACUGGACUAAGAAGCUCUGAAAUGCCCCGUGGAUUUUUCCUUCCAAGAAAUGCAGAUCUGACUUCCCACUGGGGUUGGGCAGUUUUUCUGCUGGCCACCUGCCCACGUCACUGCGGAAUGGUAUUUCUGCCUACCAGAAAAGGAAACGGAGACUCAGAGAAGUGAAGUCACUUGCCCGAUGACCCACAGCCACUGAGAGCGGAAGACAGCAUCCAAAACCUGGUCUUGUCCCCUCCUAUCCAAAAAGAGAUCCUCUAAGCACACUGGUAUUAGCAAUUUGCUGCGCAGACAGCCAUGCAGCUCGCCAGGACUCCCCAAAGGGCCAAGAUGACAGGAUAAGGCCUAAGGAGUGCCAAUAGCAGGAUCCCAGCUGUGAUAGUCAGUGCCCGUGCAGAAAAUGACAGCAUCCCAAGAGCUCUCAUCAGGAACCUAGGGAAGGUUAUUGGAUACAAAGUGUGGACUAGACAAAGAAUGAAAUACUACUCAGCUGUAAAAAAGGAAUGAAGUGCUGAUGCAUGCAAUGCCGCAAACCUCCAAAAUACUAUGCUCAAUGGAAGAAGCCAGACGCCAAAGGCCACGUACUGUCCCUACAGACUGAUGCAGGAGACGAUUCUCCACGGGUCACUCCAUGUCUGCCUGUCUUCCGAGCAAGAGACAAUGAGAGCCUUGUUCUGGACUCUCUUCUCAAGGAUGUCUAGCCAGCAGCCUUGGAAGAUAGAAAUAGUGCACCGAGAGUUGUUUCCCUAUCAGUAUAAUAAAGAUGAGGUCUCCUACCAGGGCAAAGGCUGAGCCGCUUUGCCAGCAGCUUUCUUAUAAAAUUGGGGUUUUCCUAAGCCCAGGGAUCCUCAGCUGUGACAAGUCCAGGUGGAGCAGCAGCCAUCUGGGGCACCUUGCAGGGCUCCCACGGAACCUGGGGGCAAAGAGGGCUGAUGGGAACAUGAAGUUCAUGCCGCCUGCUGGGCUGUAAUAGUCCUUUGUCUCUGACACAGCCAGCUCAUGUCUCCUGCCAGUAUCCACUCAACUGUGGCAGGCUCACUUGUUAGCUUGCAAGCCAAGUGAAAGCUCAGACCCUCCACAGUUCUCAACCAUCGGCGUUCACAUCACCCCCAUUUUACAGAUAAGGACUUUGAGACCCAGAGAAGGAAAGCUUGUCCAAGGUCACCCGGCUAGCAAAUGAACGGAGUUGCCCAGACAGACUGGGAAGGGCAGGAUAUCUGGGCAGGGGAUUGAUGAAGGUACCGCCCGGGAGUGACAGGAGCUGAAGGCUCUGAAGAUGCUCAGGAGGUCAUGCCUCUCAGUCUCCCAACCCCACACACCCCCAGAUGCUGCCUGUCCCCACAUCCGGCUGCCGGGGCUGAGCCGCCAAUUUGGGACGGCCGUGAUAUAUUUAACGGUGAGUCACGCUCUCCCCCAGCAAUCAGCAGUGGCAGGCUCGGGGAGGAUGCAGGGAGCAUCUCUGGGAAUCCAUGCCCGAGGGUCGCCAUGGCAACCCCACCAGGCUCGCUUGCCAGCAGCUAGGAUGCCAGUGCCUGAGUCAAGGCAGAAAAUAGUCUCAUAGGCCAAGUGCGGCCAAGGACAGGAGUGGGUCUGCCACAUGCUAUCACCAGUGGGUUCACCAGAGGUGGCUGCAGGAGUCCUGAGGACUUGGUGAUCAGAAGUCUCAUGGGCACGCUGGGGAGCUCAGAGUCCCCUACUGGAGGCCUGGUGUCCCUGGCCUGCUGGGAUGAGGGUACUAGUCGGGCACUCUGGUGAGCCCCGUCUCUUUCUGCCUGGUUCCUCUCCAUUUGUCUGUCUUUCUCAUACAUACCCACCCUCAUGAAGACCCCUCUCCAUCUGAGGCUUCUAAUCAAGCACCAUUAAAACAGCUCCAGACUGAUGGCAACCUGGCACUGUUAACCACAGACCAACGUCUUCCAGCAUAAUUCUGAAAGACUUCAGACCCUAAGACAAAGCAGCCACACCCACACUCCCACAGCAAAUAUGAAUAUUCCGGUGAGCAGUUUGGAGCCCAUUCAUUCAUUCAUUCAUUCAUCAAUUCGUUGUCUUCAUUGUUGAUUCUGAAUUAAAUUCAGGCUCCCACGGGCCCUGUAUGGAUAUGGACCUGGUUAUCACUCCUCAUCCCCUUCCCCUCUCCUGUCUUAUUCCACUCCAGCCCACAGCCUUGCUGCUAUGCCUCAGACACACCAGGCUCUUUCCUGUCUCAGGGCCUCUGCGUUUGCAGUUCUGACUUCCUGGAAAGUUCUUCGUCCAGAUUAACCACAACCUGAUUCCCUCACUCCCUUUAGGUCUUUGCACAAAUCUCAUCUCCUCAGAGAGAUACUGUCAAGACCACCCUAGGAGAGAGCACCCAACCCAGCCUCAAGGAUAAGGCCAAAUAUGUCUGUAUCACUUGUAACAGGGGUCCCCAACCUCUGGAAUUGAAUGCCUGAUGAUCGGAGGUGGAGCUUAUGUAAUAAUAACAGAAAUAAAGUACAUAAUAAAUGUAACGCACUUGAAUCAUCCCCAAACCAUCUCCCCAUUCCCCUGGUCUGUGGAAAAAUUGUGUCUCACAAAAGCGGCCCCUGGUGCCUAAAAGGUUGGAGACUAUUGACAUAUAACACUGUGACUUAGCUUCUUUUGUUUGUAACAAGGAAAGGGAAAUUGACAAU